GACGAACGCUGGCGGCGUGCCUAAUACAUGCAAGUAGAACGCUGAAGAGAGGAGCUUGCUCUUCUUGGAUGAGUUGCGAACGGGUGAGUAACGCGUAGGUAACCUGCCUUGUAGCGGGGGAUAACUAUUGGAAACGAUAGCUAAUACCGCAUAACAAUAGGUGACACAUGUCAUUUAUUUGAAAGGGGCAAUUGCUCCACUACAAGAUGGACCUGCGUCGUAUUAGCUAGUAGGUGAGGUAACGGCUCACCUAGGCGACGAUACAUAGCCGACCUGAGAGGGUGAUCGGCCACACUGGGACUGAGACACGGCCCAGACUCCUACGGGAGGCAGCAGUAGGGAAUCUUCGGCAAUGGGGGCAACCCUGACCGAGCAACGCCGCGUGAGUGAAGAAGGUUUUCGGAUCGUAAAGCUCUGUUGUAAGUCAAGAACGAGUGUGAGAGUGGAAAGUUCACACUGUGACGGUAGCUUACCAGAAAGGGACGGCUAACUACGUG
RNAcentral lists this ribosomal RNA (497 nucleotides) under uncultured bacterium. RNAcentral describes it as "partial 16S ribosomal RNA". It matches the Rfam family "Bacterial small subunit ribosomal RNA", at positions 28 to 507 of the family's 1533-position model. The record is from RNAcentral.